UGACUUCGGCCGUACUAGGCGCCUGGUUACCGGGGCUGCCUUCAGCUCUGCAUCUGGCAAAGUGGAGAUUGUUGCCAUCAACGACCCCUUCAUUGACCUCAACUACAUGGUCUACAUGUUCCAAUAUGACUCCACCCAUGGCAAAUUCAACGGCACAGUCAAGGCUGAGAAUGGGAAGCUUGUUAUCAAUGGGAAGCCCAUCACCGUCUUCCAGGAGCGAGAUCCUGCUAAGAUCAAAUGGGGCGAUGCUGGUGCUGAGUAUGUUGUGGAGUCCACUGGUGUCUUCACCACCAUGGAGAAGGCCAGGGCCCACUUGAAGGGUGGAGCCAAAAGGCUCAUCGUCUCCGACCCUUCUGCUGUUGCCCCCAUGUUUGUAAUGGGUGUGAACCACAAGAAAUAUGACAAGUCGAUCAAGAUUGUCAGCAAGGCAUCCUGCAUCACCAACUGCUUACCCCACCUUCCCCCCCCACCCCCCCACCCCCGUGGCCAAGGUCAUCCAUGGCAACUUGAGCAUCAUGGAAGGGCUCAUGACAACAGUCCAUGCCAUCAGUGCCACCCAGAAGACUGUGGAUGGCCUUUCUGGAAACUGUGGCACGAUGGCCGUGGAGCUUCCCAGAACAUCAUCCCUGCAUCCAGUGUUGCUGCCAAGGCUAUGGGCAAGGUCAUCCCAGAGCUGAACAGGAAGCUCACUGGCAUGGCUUUCCGUGUUCCUACCCCCAGGGUAUCCAUUGUGGAUCUGACAUGCUACCUGGAGAAACCUGCCAAGUAUGAUGACAUCAAGAAGGUGGUGAAGCAGGCAUCUGAGGGCCCACUGAAGGGCAUCCUGGGCUACACUGAGGACCAGGUUGUCUCCUGCAACUUCAACAGCAACUCCCACUCUUCCAUCUUUGAUGCUGGGGCUGGCAUUGCUCUCAAUGACGACUUUGUAAAGCUCAUUUCCUGGUAAGACAAUGAAUACAGCUACAGCAACAGGGUCGUGGACCUCAUGGCCUACAUGGCCUCCAAGGAAUAA
Molecule: non-coding RNA, 1012 nt
Organism: Arvicanthis niloticus (Nile rat)
Lineage: Eukaryota; Metazoa; Chordata; Mammalia; Rodentia; Muridae
Source: RefSeq, a predicted model, not a curated record